Molecule: ribosomal RNA, 500 nt
Filed under: Actinospica sp.
Lineage: Bacteria; Bacillati; Actinomycetota; Actinomycetes; Catenulisporales; Actinospicaceae
Description: bacterial SSU rRNA
Rfam family: Bacterial small subunit ribosomal RNA
Source: RNAcentral
CGGUGGAGGAUGGGCCCGCGGCCUAUCAGCUUGUUGGUGGGGUGAUGGCCUACCAAGGCGGUGACGGGUAGCCGGCCUGAGAGGGCGACCGGCCACACUGGGACUGAGACACGGCCCAGACUCCUGCGGGAGGCAGCAGUGGGGAAUAUUGCACAAUGGGCGAAAGCCUGAUGCAGCGACGCCGCGUGAGGGAUGACGGCCUUCGGGUUGUAAACCUCUUUCAGCAGGGACCAAGCGCAAGUGAGUGUACCUGCAGAAGAAGCACCGGCUAACUACGUGCCAGCAGCCGCGGUAAUACGUAGGGUGCGAGCGUUGUCCGGAUUUAUUGGGCGUAAAGGGCUCGUAGGCGGCCUGUCGCGUCGGAAGUGAAAGCCCACUGCUUAACGGUGGGUCUGCUUCCGGUACGGGCAGGCUGGAGUAUGGCAGGGGAGACUGGAAUUCCUGGUGUAGCGGUGGAAUGCGCAGAUAUCAGGAGGAACACCGGUGGCGAAGGCGGGUCU